GAUGAACGCUGGCGGUCUGCUUAACACAUGCAAGUCGAACGGAACUCUUCGGAGUUUAGUGGCGGACGGGUGAGUAACGCGUGAGAAUCUGCCUUCAGGUUGGGGACAACAGUUGGAAACGACUGCUAAUACCCAAUGUGCCGCGAGGUGAAAGCUUUAGUGCCUGAAGAUGAGCUCGCGUCUGAUUAGCUAGUUGGUGAGGUAAUGGCUUACCAAGGCGACGAUCAGUAGCUGGUCUGAGAGGAUGAUCAGCCACACUGGGACUGAGACACGGCCCAGACUCCUACGGGAGGCAGCAGUGGGGAAUUUUCCGCAAUGGGCGCAAGCCUGACGGAGCAAGACCGCGUGAGGGAGGAAGGCUCUUGGGUUGUAAACCUCUUUUAUCAGGGAAGAAGAUCUGACGGUACCUGAUGAAUCAGCAUCGGCUAACUCCGUGCCAGCAGCCGCGGUAAUACGGAGGAUGCAAGCGUUAUCCGGAUUUAUUGGGCGUAAAGCGUCCGCAGGUGGUUUUUCAAGUCUGCUGUUAAAGCGCAGAGCUUAACUCUGUAACGGCGGUGGAAACUGAGAGACUAGAGUAUGGUAGGGGUUGCGGGAAUUCCCAGUGUAGCGGUGAAAUGCGUAGAUAUUGGGAAGAACACCAGCGGCGAAAGCGCGCAACUGGGCCAUUACUGACACUCAUGGACGAAAGCUAGGGGAGCGAAAGGGAUUAGAUACCCCUGUAGUCCUAGCUGUAAACGAUGGGUACUAGGUGUUGACCG
Molecule: ribosomal RNA, 758 nt
Filed under: uncultured cyanobacterium
Lineage: Bacteria; Bacillati; Cyanobacteriota
Description: bacterial SSU rRNA
Rfam family: Bacterial small subunit ribosomal RNA
Source: RNAcentral